UCGCCUAUUUUUUCAAUUUUAACGAAAUUAUCCAUGUUAACUCUUUGAUCAAUCAUUAACACCACUAAUUACGAACUUUAGCUAUUGUGCAAUGACAAUGGGGUCGGCGACCGGGAAAAUUGGUAUGUUGUAUUCGGUGGAUUAUCACGCCCGCAAGAGAAAAGUAACGACCGAAUUCAAAUGCGACAACGGAGAGUACGCCAUAUUGGGCAAAACCAAUCAGAACACGUGUCUUAAGUCACAGCUGCUCUUUGCGCAAGCGCACUUACGAAGCGCGGGAUGUUUCAGCAAAAAAAUUGCAUUUCCUGGUAGACACUGACUCGGAUAUCUGUGAGCUCGACAGCUGCACGCCGUGGUGUUAUGCAAACGCUAUCGGCUAUCCCAUUACACCAUGCUACGAGUAACGAUAUUUACUAACUUUCUCAUUUGGGAAACUCUCAUAUUUCUCCGUGCUCUCACAAUUAAAUAAAAUUUAAGGAGUUACCAAUUUUCAACGAAUUUAAGAAUAAGUCAAGUAUUCUGAAUA
This 526-nucleotide unclassified non-coding RNA is filed under the name Athalia rosae (coleseed sawfly). RNAcentral describes it as "misc RNA ENSAEAG00005010060.1". The record is from RNAcentral. Lineage: Eukaryota; Metazoa; Arthropoda; Insecta; Hymenoptera; Athaliidae.